Molecule: ribosomal RNA, 229 nt
Filed under: uncultured bacterium
Lineage: Bacteria
Description: partial 16S ribosomal RNA
Rfam family: Bacterial small subunit ribosomal RNA
Source: RNAcentral
CGCGUAGGCGGAAAGGUCAGUCAGAUGUGAAAUCCCGGGGCUUAACCCCGGAACUGCAUUUGAAACUUCCUUUCUAGAGGGUAGAUGGAGAAAAUGGAAUUCCACAUGUAGCGGUGAAAUGCGUAGAUAUGUGGAAGAACACCAGUGGCGAAGGCGGUUUUCUAAUUUAUACCUGACGCUGAGGCGCGAAAGCAAGGGGAUCAAACAGGAUUAGAUACCCUGGUAGUCC